This 1156-nucleotide ribosomal RNA is filed under the name Oxalobacteraceae sp. CFBP 8763. RNAcentral describes it as "partial 23S ribosomal RNA". It matches the Rfam family "Bacterial large subunit ribosomal RNA", at positions 1765 to 2925 of the family's 2925-position model. Lineage: Bacteria; Pseudomonadati; Pseudomonadota; Betaproteobacteria; Burkholderiales; Oxalobacteraceae. The record is from RNAcentral.
AGGAUGAACGGGUUGCAAUAAAAUGGUGGCUGCGACUGUUUAAUAAAAACACAGCACUCUGCAAACACGAAAGUGGACGUAUAGGGUGUGACGCCUGCCCGGUGCUGGAAGAUUAAAUGAUGGGGUGCAAGCUCUUGAUUGAAGUCCCAGUAAACGGCGGCCGUAACUAUAACGGUCCUAAGGUAGCGAAAUUCCUUGUCGGGUAAGUUCCGACCUGCACGAAUGGCGUAACGAUGGCCACACUGUCUCCUCCCGAGACUCAGCGAAGUUGAAAUGUUUGUGAUGAUGCAAUCUACCCGCGGCUAGACGGAAAGACCCCAUGAACCUUUACUGUAGCUUUGCAUUGGACUUUGAAUCAAUCUGUGUAGGAUAGGUGGGAGGCUUUGAAGCAGACACGCUAGUGUUUGUGGAGCCAACCUUGAAAUACCACCCUGGUUCAUUUGAGGUUCUAACCUUGGUCCGUUAUCCGGAUCGGGGACAGUGCAUGGUAGGCAGUUUGACUGGGGCGGUCUCCUCCUAAAGUGUAACGGAGGAGUUCGAAGGUACGCUAAUUACGGUCGGACAUCGUGAUGAUAGUGCAAUGGCAUAAGCGUGCUUAACUGCGAGACCGACAAGUCGAGCAGGUACGAAAGUAGGACAUAGUGAUCCGGUGGUUCUGUAUGGAAGGGCCAUCGCUCAACGGAUAAAAGGUACUCUGGGGAUAACAGGCUGAUUCCUCCCAAGAGUUCAUAUCGACGGGGGAGUUUGGCACCUCGAUGUCGGCUCAUCACAUCCUGGGGCUGUAGCCGGUCCCAAGGGUAUGGCUGUUCGCCAUUUAAAGUGGUACGUGAGCUGGGUUUAAAACGUCGUGAGACAGUUUGGUCCCUAUCUGCCGUGGGCGUUGGAAAUUUGAAGGGGGCUGCUCCUAGUACGAGAGGACCGGAGUGGACGAACCUCUGGUGUACCGGUUGUCACGCCAGUGGCAUUGCCGGGUAGCUAAGUUCGGAAGAGAUAACCGCUGAAAGCAUCUAAGCGGGAAACUUGCCUUGAGAUGAGAUUUCCCAGAGCCUUGAGCUCUUUAAAGGGUCGUUCGAGACCAGGACGUUGAUAGGCUGGGUGUGGAAGUGCAGUAAUGCAUUAAGCUAACCAGUACUAAUUGCCCGUACGGCUUGUCCCU